AGAGUUUGAUCCUGGCUCAGGAUGAACGACUGACAGAAUGCUUAACACAUGCAAGUCAACUUGUAAUUGGGUUUUUAACUUUAGAUUUGGGUGGCGGACGGGUGAGUAACGCGUAAGAACUUGCCUCACAGCUAGGGACAACAUUUGGAAACGAAUGCUAAUACCUGAUAUUAUGAUUUUAAGGCAUCUUAGAAUUAUGAAAGCUAUACGCGCUGUGAGAGAGCUUUGCGUCCCAUUAGCUAGUUGGAGAGGUAACGGCUCACCAAGGCGAUGAUGGGUAGCCGGCCUGAGAGGGUGAACGGCCACAAGGGGACUGAGACACGGCCCUUACUCCUACGAGAGGCAGCAGUGGGGAAUAUUGGACAAUGGACCAAGAGUCUGAUCCAGCAAUUCUGUGUGCACGAUGACGUUUUUCGGAAUGUAAAGUGCUUUCAGUUGGGAAGAAAAAAAUGACGGUACCAACAGAAGAAGUGACGGCUAAAUACGUG
This 488-nucleotide ribosomal RNA is filed under the name uncultured Fusobacterium sp. RNAcentral describes it as "bacterial SSU rRNA". It matches the Rfam family "Bacterial small subunit ribosomal RNA", at positions 8 to 507 of the family's 1533-position model. Lineage: Bacteria; Fusobacteriati; Fusobacteriota; Fusobacteriia; Fusobacteriales; Fusobacteriaceae. The record is from RNAcentral.